RNAcentral lists this ribosomal RNA (497 nucleotides) under uncultured bacterium. RNAcentral describes it as "partial 16S ribosomal RNA". It matches the Rfam family "Bacterial small subunit ribosomal RNA", at positions 28 to 507 of the family's 1533-position model. The record is from RNAcentral.
GAUGAACGCUGGCGGCGUGCCUAAUACAUGCAAGUCGAGCGAACGGACGAGAAGCUUGCUUCACUGAUGUUAGCGGCGGUCGGGUGAGUAACACGUGGAUAACCUACCUAUAAGACUGGGAUAACUUCGGGAAACCGGAGCUAAUACCGGAUAAUAUUUUGAACCGCAUGGUUCAAAAGUGAAAGACGGUCUUGCAGUCACUUAUAGAUGGAUCCGCGCUGCAUUAGCUAGUUGGUAAGGUAACGGCUUACCAAGGCAACGAUGCAUAGCCGACCUGAGAGGGUGAUCGGCCACACUGGACCUGAGACACGGUCCAGACUCCUACGGGAGGCAGCAGUAGGGAAUCUUCCGCAAUGGGCGAAAGCCUGACGGAGCAACGCCGCGUGAGUGAUGAAGGUCUUCGGAUCGUAAAACUCUGUUAUUAGGGAAGAACAUAUGUGUAAGUAACUGUGCACAUCUUGACGGUACCUAAUCAGAAAGCCACGGCUAACUACGUG